Molecule: ribosomal RNA, 457 nt
Filed under: uncultured bacterium
Lineage: Bacteria
Description: bacterial SSU rRNA
Rfam family: Bacterial small subunit ribosomal RNA
Source: RNAcentral
UACGGGAGGCAGCAGGGGGAAUAUUGCACAAUGGGCGAAAGCCUGAUGCAGCUAUGCCGCGUGUAUGAAGAAGGCCUUAGGGUUGUAAAGUACUUUCAUCGGGGAGGAAAAACAAAACUAAUAAUUUUAUUUCUUGACGUUACCCGAAAAAGAAGCACCGGCUAACUCCGUGCCAGCAGCCGCGGUAAUACGGAGGGUGCUAGCGUUAAUCAGAAUUACUGGGCGUAAAAGAGCACGUAGGUGGUUUUUUUAAGUCAGAUGUGAAAUCCCUGGGCUUUAACCUAGGAACUGCAUUUUGAAACUGAAAUACUAGAGUAUCGUAGAGGGAGGUAGAAUUCUAGGUGUAGCGGUGAAAUGCGUAGAUAUCUGGAGGAAUACCUGUGGCGAAAGCGGCCUCCUAAACGAAUACUGACACUGAGGGUGCGAAAGCGUGGGGAGCAAACAGGGAUUAGAUACC